AUUGAACGCUGGCGGCAUGCCUUACACAUGCAAGUCGAACGGCAGCAGGGGUGCUUGCACCUGGUGGCGAGUGGCGAACGGGUGAAUAAUACAUCGGAACAUGUGCUGGAGUGGGGUAUAGCCCGGCGAAAGCCGGAUUAAUACCGCAUACGAUCUACGGAUGAAAGCGGGGGACCUUCGGCCCUCGCGCUCUAGUGUUGGCCGAUGGCUGAUUAGCUAGUUGGUGGGGUAAAGGCCUACCAAGGCGACGAUCAGUAGAUGGUCUGAGAGGACGACCAGCCACACUGGGACUGAGACACGGCCCAGACUCCUACGGGAGGCAGCAGUGGGGAAUUUUGGACAAUGGGCGAAAGCCUGAUCCAGCAAUGCCGCGUGUGUGAAGAAGGUCUUCGGGUUGUAAAGCACUUUUGUCCGGAAAGAAAUCCUUGGCUCUAAUACAGUCCGGGGAUGACGGUACCGGAAGAAUAAGCACCGGCUAACUACGUG
This 486-nucleotide ribosomal RNA is filed under the name uncultured bacterium. RNAcentral describes it as "partial 16S ribosomal RNA". It matches the Rfam family "Bacterial small subunit ribosomal RNA", at positions 30 to 507 of the family's 1533-position model. The record is from RNAcentral.